Long non-coding RNA from Ochotona princeps (American pika), 1178 nucleotides. RefSeq lists it as uncharacterized. The transcript has 3 exons. The record is from RefSeq and is a predicted model, not a curated record. Lineage: Eukaryota; Metazoa; Chordata; Mammalia; Lagomorpha; Ochotonidae.
GAUGGUGCGAUACCAAAGAGUUCAUUCAUUGUAUUGCUGAAUUCCUAAAGGGUAUGAUCAGUCCUCCACAGAGUUUUCGAAUAUCUACAUGGACAUGUUGAUGACAAAGAACUGCUGGAAGCUCAACAAAUCAGAUGCUUUGAAGCCAGUAUUUCAAGCAAGGUUUUUCACUGGAUGCCAGGCCAGGGAAGUGGAAUGAAAAACUACACCCAAGGAACCAGGCUGAUUGGCUUGAAGGUAUGCCUGAACUAGAAUUCCAACCGCAAACAGCAUUCUUCACCAGCAGAGUCUUGCAUGAGAGCAAAGCAGGACUAGAGGCAUACCAAACACAGAGACAACGUAGAAGAUACAGCGAUGUCCCUCUCACACAAAGCUGUAACAUGGUAAACAGGUCAUAUCGCCUAAUUGGAAAUAACCAUGAUUGUUUGACCAUAAAUUGGGAUUCCACUUAACUUCGCAGACUACGUGGUGCAGAAGGAACGAGCUUUACUUCGGCAAUUCACAAGUGUACUCUCAAAGGAUAUUCAGAAUCUUUUGUUGUUCAUUGUGCUCAUACAGCCUUAACUUUAAAGGGAAUGUUUGACAACAGUUAAAACUGAUGCAUUGAAAUGUACAUCUGAAUAUAGAUAUGGAUUCACAGAAUAAAUACAUGACAGCUGGGGCUUCUUUAUUAGAUUCUAGACAAGAAUUUGCUUGCUGGUCACCUCGUUUGGUAAGAGUAAAAGAAUUCUAUCCAUUCGUCACUAAAUGCAAUUUCUGUGAGGCUUUCUCAUGCCUGACAACAAAUCAGGAAGCACUCUAACAGAAUGAUGGAAUUGCAUUUUGGCAAAAGCUAUGGGGACUACACAGAUGGGAAAUGAGAGAAAAGCCACAUGGAUAAGAAAAACCAUGAGUUUUCAGCACAUAACAAAAAUAUAAAAGAAAACUCUCUCGGGGACCCCGUGGGGUCACUUGAUUCAACAACAGUGAUUUAUUUUCCAUUCAGCAAGGGUUCUAAACUUUGGGGCUAGAGGGAGUUUUAUGACAUAUGGCUCUCAGCACCAGCUGUGACAGGGAAAAGGGGCUGUUGAUAGAAUAAUUUUGACUCAGAUAAUGAGACCCUUAGCUGGAUGAAUCUAAUGGCUUCACAGGAAAUUUUAAGAUGGAAGUCAGCCAACAAACCCAUCUUCAUUUGUUCU